This is a non-coding RNA of Heterocephalus glaber (naked mole-rat), 989 nucleotides long. The record is from RefSeq and is a predicted model, not a curated record. Lineage: Eukaryota; Metazoa; Chordata; Mammalia; Rodentia; Bathyergidae.
AGGGAGGAGAAAGCGAGGGGGGGCGGAUCGGACAGCUCUCGGAGCAGCACCAGAGGUUGCCGGGCUCUUCCCCGCCCGCCAAGUCACGGGCAGGCUCGAGCUACGAAACCGAAAGUACGAACAGAAACCGAGGAAGGGCCGUGGAAAGAUCGCUUGGAUCCCAUCCUCUCUCCAGGGCAGAAGGCGACCUGGAGGCAGGAGGAGGAGAAUCUCUCUCUGUCUCUCUGUCUCCCCCCGCCCCCCCGUCGGAGGUCCAGCUAUCCCUGUCUAUCUCCAGGCUUCCGUUCAAGGCAGAAUUCUUCUUGACACUGCCCGCCUUCUCUCGAAGAGGCCGAAACCUCCCUAGAUCCACUUUCCCGUACAUCCUACAUAGACCUCUUUACAAGCCACCUUUCUAUCUCGAAUGGAUUCUUUCUACAAGGUCAUGGCACUGGAAAACAGCCCCAUAACAAGUUUCAGAAAAGAAAGUUGGAUCCAAAUGGAAAAAAGAAUUCUUCUAAGUGAGACAAGAGGUGAAACUGAAGUUGGACCAUGGACUGGACAUUCAUACCAAAACCCUUUAACUUCCUUACAUGGGGGCUCUGUGGUGGCUACCUGGGAGUGCCUCUACUUUGGGUAAAAUACACUGCCAUUUUUCUUACAGACUUGCAAAUUAGGAAAGGCAGUAACCACUGGAGAAGGUGAGUGCAUAAAUGAUGGGGUAUCCAUAACAUGAUUGCAGAUGUCCAAUAAGUUUGAAAUUAUUGGGAAAUUAAAUAUUUUUUCUAUGAUCAUUAUUAUUCCAAAAAAGAAACAUCAAACAUCACUAUAGCAGGGACAGGGGUUUAGCUCAGUGGUUCUGCUGCCUGCCUGGCAAGUGGAAGGACCCAAGUUUGAUCCCCAGUACCAAAAAGAAAAAUCACUAUAGCAGCUAAGUGUAUUAGUGAGCUUUCUCACUGUGAAGACACAACUCCUGACAUCCACAACCUAAAGAAGGGGAGGUUCUCCCA